AUGCGAUGAUGAGUGAAGCGCAGUCUGACCUGGUAUUGCCGCUCCUCGUUGCCGGCUCUGACCGGGGCGUGAUCGCUUAAUCUUCUCUCUGAGCUG
Molecule: small nucleolar RNA, 96 nt
Organism: Pteronotus mesoamericanus
Lineage: Eukaryota; Metazoa; Chordata; Mammalia; Chiroptera; Mormoopidae
Product: Z30 small nucleolar RNA
Exons: 1
Source: RefSeq, a predicted model, not a curated record